UACGAACGCUGGCGGCGUGCUUAACUCAUGCAAGUCGAACGGAAAGGCCCUUCUUUUGUGUGGUGCUCGAGUGGCUAACGGGUGAGUAACACGUUAGUAACCUGCCCUUGACUUUGGGAUAACUUCAGGAAACUGGGGCUAAUACCGGAUAGGAGCUCCUGCUGCAUGGUGGGGGUUGGAAAGUUUCGGCGGUUGGGGAUGGACUCGCGGCUUAUCAGCUUGUUGGUGGGGUAGUGGCUUACCAAGGCUUUGACGGGUAGCCGGCCUGAGAGGGUGACCGGCCACAUUGGGACUGGGAUACGGCCCAGACUCCUAAGGGAGGCAGCAGUGGGGAAUAUUGCACAAUGGGCGGAAGCCUGAUGCAGCAACGCCGCGUGCGGGAUGACGGCCUUCGGGUUGUAAACCGCUUUCGCCUGUGACGAAGCGUGAGUGACGGUAAUGGGUAAAGAAGCACCGGGUGACUACGUG
RNAcentral lists this ribosomal RNA (468 nucleotides) under uncultured bacterium. RNAcentral describes it as "partial 16S ribosomal RNA". It matches the Rfam family "Bacterial small subunit ribosomal RNA", at positions 29 to 507 of the family's 1533-position model. The record is from RNAcentral.